AAGAACUAUCACUUAUUAUCGCAUCAGUACAAACUUUGUAAGUGUAUGCAUCAUGUGUCAAAUUUUGGAACGCUCAACUCACCAUAGCCCCGCCUCCUCAGUUCCGGCAUUUUGGCUCCGGAAGUACCGUACUUUUUUGGUUCACAGGAAAAGGAAAAAAAACUGCUGUUGGGAAACAAAACAGCAAAAAUGCCUGCCCCUAAAAGACACAAGUCUUUUCAGGCUCCUCAAGCGAAGAGAAGAAAGGAGGAUCAGAACGAAGUCGCCAUGCCAUCCAACAAAACGACACCAGCCUCUGCAACGUCAAGCAACCCCCAAAGAGAAGCACCUUUGUGGAGAAGGAAUAAGAAAAAGCCCCCUGCAGAACUAAAAGAGGGAAAUAAACCUGCAGGGUCCAGCCGCCAUUCCUCCAAGACAAAAUCAACUCAAAAGGCCAGGACUAGGACCAAGUUCAAUCCACCUGUAAAGAACGCCAAGCUGCUGAAAGCCACAAGUGCCUCCUCAAAGAAUCCCAACUCUAAAGGAACCCUAAAAAGACCAGCCAAGAUCUUCAAAACUGCUUCCACAGAGUCCGAUGAGGAGCUUAUCAGAACUCAUAAACCACAUUGCAUCAGAAAAUACUCUAAUGGGGAUCGAGGUAAGCGUAAAGGGUCACAGUCUAACCUGAAUGAAGAAGUAUUGCUCUCAGACCCUGUGCAGAGGGAUCACAAUUAUGGUAUACCCUCUGCGUCUUAUGGUAGUCAUUCUGAAAUUGAGGAAAAUAAAAGGAAAAGAGUCAGAGAGUCCACCAGAGGCCCAGAGACCCAGAGAGAUGUGAAGAUGGAAACUCAAAUGUCUUCAGAACCCUUACCUGAACAAUCUGGACAGAUGAAGCGGAGCAGUGAGACGUAUGAGGUGCAGGAUAAUUCCAUGACCACCCCAACAGAUGAAUUUAGUGAGAGUGUCAACACUAAGCCUGACAUAAAAAUGUCUCCUCCAGCAUCCCCUGAGAAAGCUUCAGACCCCAUCCAUAAGCAGGUGAACCAGAGUAGAGAGAAACAUGAGGAGCAGAAUGAUUCCGUGACCAUCCCUACAUAUCAAGUUAGUGAGAGUGUAGCGAGCAAGAUGGAUGCAUAUAAAAAGUCUGCAGACCCCAUACCUGAACUACUAAAACAGAGCACUGAGACACAGGAAAUGCAGGAAAAUUCCAUGACCACCUAUACAGAUAAAGUUAAUGAACAUUUAGAGACUAAGGUCGGUGCAAAAAUAUUGUCUCAUCCAGCCAUCGGCUUAGUAGCAUAUAGUAGCAGUAGUGAUUCUGAAUGUGAAAGUGAGGGAAAUGACAGGACGGGAGUCACAGAGUCAAUAGAUGUGAAGAUGAAAACUCAAGCAUCUUCAGAGAAGGCUUCAGACCCUGUCCCUGAACAGGUGAAGGAGAGCAGUGAGACGAGGCAGAUGCAGGAGGAUCCCAUGACCACCCCUACAUAUGAAGUUACCGAGGAUUCCAUGACCUCCCCUACAUAUGAAGUUACCGAGGAUUCCAUGACCUCCCCUACUGAGAGUGUAGACCCCAAGCUUGAUGCAAAUAUAAAGCCUCCUCCAUCUAUAGAAGUAUAUUCAGAGGAGGCUUCAGACCCUGUCCCUGAACAGGUGAAUCCUGAACAGGUGAAUCAGAUAUACAUUGAAAUAGAGAAGGUGCAGGAAGAUUCCAUGACCACCCCAACAGAUGAAGUACGUGAACUUUUAGAUGGCACGCUUGAUGCAGAAGUAAUGUCCCUGCCACCUUUAGAAGCAUCCUCUGAGGAGACCCAUACAUUUGAAGUUAGUGAGAGUGUAGAGACCAAGUGUUCAGAACUUGCACCUGAACAUGUGACGCAGAGCACUGAGAUGCAGGGAGAUUCCGCGCCAACCCAUGCAGUUCAAGUAAGUGAGAGUGUAGACACCAAGCUUGAUAUUGAAGUAAAUUCUGCUCCACCUGUAGAACUAUCCUCUGAGGAGACUUCAGACAUUGUCUCUGUCUCAGAGCAGGUGCUGCAGAGCAGUGAGACACAGGAAGUCCAGGAAGAUUCCAUGACCACCCGUACAGAUGAACUUAGGGAAAGUUUAGGAACAAAGUCGGGUGCUAAAAUAAAGUCUCCACCCUUAGAGGUGCUUUUCAGUGCUCUAAAGGAGUCCAGUCUUUGCAAACAUCCCCUGUCUCAUACGAUGCGCUCAAAUGUCAAAGAGUUUCUGGGAGUAGAGGAUUCUUUAGAAAUCACUAAAAAAGACUGUGACUUUGGUGUAACGGAGAGCAUUGAGUGUACUUUAGACCUCGAGACUCCGAUUAUUGUCGAGGAUAUGGAGAUCGGCCACUGUGUUGUGGAGGUGGUGGGAGAGAAUGGAGAGGAGGUGGAUAGUGAUCUGGAAAUCAUAGACAACUCUGAGAGGCCAGAGAAGACACUUGAGCUAACCAAAGGGUCUGAAGAAGAGUGCAGUGUGGAUAAAAGUGAAGAUGGUAUUGAAAAGAAAGGCACAAGUUCCUCUAACCAAGACAGCACAAAUAGUGGGAAGAAGGAAGUUACUAAAAAAACACAGGGUAGCCUGGAAAAACCCAAGAAACAGCAGAUGAACCCUCAGGCCCGGACCAAAGCCCGACUAGCAGCGCUAGCUGAGCAAAAGGCAGCUGGCUCCAAAAAAGCGAGCAGGCAGCUCAACCUCCUGGCCCUAUGUGAAGAAAUAGCAGAUGAUAUCGCCACUGACACAAUGUUAAUAAAGACGAAGGAGGAGGAGGAGCAGGUUGUAAUAAUUAAGGCUGAACCCAGCAAGGAGCCAGAAUGCACACCGCCUGUCACACAGGCUGAGACUGUUCCGAUACCUCCUACUCCUGCCCGGCCCGAGGAACCGUCUCCAGCAGUAGAACCCUCCGCUGAGGAGCCUGCUCCAGCCAAGCCCCCAGCUCCAGAGCCACCUCGGAGGCGUUUCUUCAUCAGCCAAGUGACGGUACCCCUCAAAAUCCACGAGAAGAAGAAGCUUACCAGGUUCCAGAGGCUGCGGCAGGUGGAACUGCAGCGGGAGAAGAAUAUGUCCUGGACCAUGGUGAAGAAGCUCAAGUCCGAUCAGAAGAUGAUUCCAGAGACUGAGACUAAACCUUCCCCUCCAGCAGCAGCACCUCUCCAAGUGACCACCCCCCCCCCCCUCAACCAGUCCAGCUGCACUCUCCUCAACCAGUCAAGUUGAGCCCCCAAAAGUUGAGCCCCCAAAAGUUGAGCCCCCAAAAGUUGAGCCCCCAAAAGAGCCCCAAAAAGUUGAGCCCCCGAAAGUGACCCCCAGUAAGGGACCCACCCUGAGAAAGAGGACGCUUCCAGCAGAACCCCCGCCGAUGCCCAACGGGCUGAAAGCUCAGAAGGCCAAGCCUGUGGUGGAGUAUAAGCCUUACAAAUCCAGGCCCAAGUACUCCUUUGAUGACUUUGAAUGUGAUGACGAGCCGAAACCCACAGUGCAGAAGGCAGCAGUGAGACCUACAGCUACUACUAUUCAGAGGGCAGCAGUUAAACCUACCGCCGUUCAGCGGGCAGCAGUGAGACCUACCGCCGUUCAGAGGGCAGCAGUGAGACCUACCGCCAUUCAGAGGGCAGCAGUGAGACCUGCCGCCGUUCAGAGGGCAGCAGUGAGACC
Molecule: long non-coding RNA, 3633 nt
Organism: Oncorhynchus tshawytscha (Chinook salmon)
Lineage: Eukaryota; Metazoa; Chordata; Actinopteri; Salmoniformes; Salmonidae
Source: Ensembl